AGCCUGUUGGCAUAGUGGUUAAGAGCUUGGCUGCUAACCAAAAGGUUGGUGGUUCAAAUCUAUCAACUGCUC
This 72-nucleotide transfer RNA is filed under the name Loxodonta africana (African savanna elephant). It matches the Rfam family "tRNA". From Rfam's summary of the family: Transfer RNA (tRNA) molecules are approximately 80 nucleotides in length. Their secondary structure includes four short double-helical elements and three loops (D, anti-codon, and T loops). Lineage: Eukaryota; Metazoa; Chordata; Mammalia; Proboscidea; Elephantidae. The record is from Rfam by way of RNAcentral.